Molecule: ribosomal RNA, 379 nt
Filed under: uncultured eukaryote
Lineage: Eukaryota
Description: partial 18S ribosomal RNA
Rfam family: Eukaryotic small subunit ribosomal RNA
Source: RNAcentral
CAAUAGCGUAUAUUUAAGUUGUUGCAGUUAAAAAGCUCGUAGUUGGAUUUCGGAUGGGAUUUGCCGGUCCGUCGUUACGAUGUGCACUGGCCAGUCCUAUCUUGUUGUCGGGGACUAGCUCCUUGGAUUCACUUCCUGGGACUAGGAGCUGACGAGGUUACUUUGAGUAAAUUAGAGUGUUCAAAGCAAGCCUACGCUCUGAAUACAUUAGCAUGGAAUAACACGAUAGGACUCUGGCUUAUCUUGUUGGUCUGUGAGACCAGAGUAAUGAUUAAGAGGGACAGUCGGGGACAUUCGUAUUUCAUUGUCAGAGGUGAAAUUCCUGGAUUUAUGAAAGACGAACUUCUGCGAAAGCAUUUGUCAAGGAUGUUUUCAUUAA